This 491-nucleotide ribosomal RNA is filed under the name uncultured bacterium. RNAcentral's name for it is "partial 16S ribosomal RNA". It matches the Rfam family "Bacterial small subunit ribosomal RNA", at positions 28 to 507 of the family's 1533-position model. The record is from RNAcentral.
GAUGAACGCUGGCUACAGGCUUAACACAUGCAAGUCGAGGGGAAACGACGGGGAAGCUUGCUUCCCCGGGCGUCGACCGGCGCACGGGUGAGUAACGCGUAUCCAACCUGCCUCUGACUGAGGGAUAACCCGUCGAAAGUCGGCCUAAUACCUCAUGGCAUCGUCUGCGGGCAUCCAACGACGAUUAAAGAUUUCAUCGGUCAGAGAUGGGGAUGCGUCUGAUUAGCUUGUUGGCGGGGUAACGGCCCACCAAGGCGACGAUCAGUAGGGGUUCUGAGAGGAAGGUCCCCCACAUUGGAACUGAGACACGGUCCAAACUCCUACGGGAGGCAGCAGUGAGGAAGAUUGGUCAAUGGGCGAGAGCCUGAACCAGCCAAGUAGCGUGCAGGAUGACGGCCCUAUGGGUUGUAAACUGCUUUUAUGCGGGGAUAAAGUGAGGGACGUGUCCUUCAUUGCAGGUACCGCAUGAAUAAGGACCGGCUAAUUCCGUG